Molecule: long non-coding RNA, 818 nt
Filed under: Homo sapiens (human)
Lineage: Eukaryota; Metazoa; Chordata; Mammalia; Primates; Hominidae
Description: non-protein coding lnc-AP3S1-124:1
Source: RNAcentral
CACUUACCCCUUUCUCCUAACCCUAAACCCAAAAAACCACAAAGACUGACGCACUAACUGCUCAGAAAAAGUAGAACCUCUCACACUUCGGGGUGAUUAAAUUUUACCUCUGGCCCCGGAGGAUUGGUAGAGAGAUUCGACUUAAUCACCAAGCCGGGGCUGCAAAAAAGCCAGCUUACCAGGGCACCUCACUCAAGUACAUCUGGGAAGUAGGGGUCUUUAAUUUACAUUACAGAUCGUCAGAAGCAAGGAUAAGAUAAAUCAGAUCAUUUGGGGGCUGAAAAAAACGACGGUCGAAUAUUUAAUCUGCGAAACUUGGCAGUGGAUUUGAAUAAACCCACAGUCGGGGAAGUUAGUUAAAUUGGUUUGGGAAAGGGAACAGCAGAAAUUCCGUAGUGGCAGCUGACGGCCACAAGACGCUAUUUUACAUGAGUAAAAAUGCUUGCUAUAAGGUGCCCGGUUGCAGGCGACCGAAGGCGCAGUGAUGGAGAACUGACGCGGGUGACUUGUCUUCUUCAACAUCACACACUUCUCCCGAUGGCUGAUGUAGUGCUCCCCUGGGAGCACCCUCUGCUAGUCCGGCCAGACGGUUCCUUAAGGUGUCAGGAGGGCCCGAACCUGAGUGCGGUCUCUCCGCAUCUCCGCGCCCGGGGUUAACGAUGGCUUGGGAGUGUGGGCAUUGCUCCCGAGGCCAGGGGCAGGAGGACUGGUGGUUUAGAAGCAGAGACAGCAAGAGACCCACCCCCAGGCCCCUGGCAGCGCAGUGGAUCCGGGAUCGCUGGAGACGCGGUGCACACACAAAUCAGGUUCAGAUCUGU